UGUGCCUGACAAUGCAUCACUGACCCUUUGAUUUGGGGGACAAGUCACUGCUUGUGCAUCCAUCUUGAUUUGAUGGCCAGAGAGAGGGCUGAUUGACCCCAUGACCUUCCUGGGUGGGGCGAUGCUGCUUGGGGCCUGGAGCUCUUGUCAGCGGGUUAAUGAGCAGCAGCUGCUUGGGGCACGCUGGGCCUUGGCUAAGUGACGGGGCCGGAUGACCACCCUCUGCUCUGACCCUUACGCCUCUCAGCUGACAUCAGUUAAACACCCCGUCCACCUCUGCCACCAGCACCAGUCUUUCUCCUGUCUUGUCCUUUCUCCCCUUUCCAGAGUGAAGCUCAGACUCAGGAUUUAAGCUCAGGUCAGCAGAUCUGGCUCACAAUACAACAGGCUUGUGUCUCAGUGCACGUGAAAUCUCAGGCCUUGCCACCGCCACCACGGCCAGCAAGCACAGCUGAAAGCAACCCCUCCCAGUGUGGUGGUUUGUUAAAGUGAACAAGAUCAGACGACCAUCCUGAGGUGAGCCGGCAGAGAUCCGAUGCCACUGGAGCACUUUGAUUACCCACCAGACUGACUGGCUGUUGGAUUUCUCACAGCUUGCGUACUUCUUUGGCUUUGCUCCCAAAGCACGACUGUGACACACACACACACACACACACACAGAGAGGCAACAGAAACACACUACUUCGUGCUAAAGGAAAGAAGAUUUGCUUGUUGUACUCUCAGAAGCUUAGCUAACCGUCUAAGCCUGACUUCAGCACUCAUACAGGUGCAAAGGACAAAGCAGGAGCUUUGAGACACUUACAGGGCAGAGCAGUACUUACUGGUCGCUCUUUAGGCUUUAGCAGUGGCUCCCAACGUUUUUGGUUUGUGACUCCUUACGAGAAUAGAUCAACCUUUUGGGAAAUACACAUCUUCACUUUCUUGCUUCAUAUUUAAGGGGCACGUAUGAGAAUGAUAUUCAUCUUCUCACCAAACUCUCAGUAAGAAAGUCAAUGAGGAAAAUGCAUUCCCCCAAAAUGUUCAACUAUUCCUCUAAAAUGAAAAGCCAUCUGCUCGUGAACCCUCGUCACUGGUCAUGACCUCAAUGUGGACGUGAGUAAGGAGCAUUUUCCUUCUCAAACUGUCUCAUUUGAAGGCUUUGGAGAGGUCAAAGUUUCUAAUCUUUGACAUAAAAAAAUGGAAAUUAGAUUGAACAGAAAACUUGUCAAUGUAGUGUCCAUGGUCUAGUGAUGAAGUUCCAAUUAUGGCUCUUUUUUUCCUCAAAAGAGUGGAUUGUUAAUGUGAUAUUAAUGCGAACUGAAGCUUUACCGCUGCGGCUCAGUUUACAUGACAAUAAAUGGUUCGGAGUCCUUUUUAUCCCUGCUCAAUUUAUUAUUAUUCAUGUGAUGUGCUGCAGCUAAAUCUUUCUCAUCUGGCUGCACAUGAGUCUUUUCUGUCCUGCUCAGAGUCAGGAUUUAAACCAAUAUUGGGGCUGUAGGGAUCCAAGUAUUUCUUUCAAAGCCUUUUCUCUUUUACCGUAUUGUCACUUUUCUGUCUGCGUGAUCACUAUCUUUCAUUUCUUUCAUUUGCUCUCUUGUUGCUUGUCUUUUUGGUCAGAGGCUGGUUAAUGUGGGUUUACCCAACCACCCAAGCGAUUAAUGUGGGCUUAUCCAUGCAUUUGUCAUCUACCCAUCCAUCCAGAAAUGAUUUUUGCAUCCACCCUCUCUGUCCUGCAUGUAAGCAUUCAUACCUAUAUACACCUACAAUACAGUGGGCUUUUUGUGUUUUGGUACUAUGGCCUAAAUUAGCACAGGAGAGAGAUCUGUAAAGUGAUUUCAGCAUUGCCUCUGAAGAGAAACUGAGAAAAAAAGGUGUCUUCUUGGAUCCCUCUCAGACAGAAACUUUGAUUUCAUGGUGUUGAUUAUUUUUCUUCGCAAUCACUCAAGGAUGAAGCAGAAGGACGCAGAGAUUGUUCCCUUUUCAGAUGCCCCGCAAUGGGACUCCUUGGUAAAAAAACAAAAAAAAAAAACCAAAAGAAACAACAAGGAGUUUCCCCCCUUCUCUUUCUUUUCUUUUUUUUCACAAUCCAACACUAUACAACUUACUUAAAGAAAGACAGAAGGGGCUUGAAGCAGCCAUGAGCUUAAAAACUGUUCUCUUUUGAGUCCUAAUUCUGUAGGAUGCAAAGAGUCUUUAACUGGUACCAAUAUGGCUGUCUGUCACUAAGUAAGAAAAACAUUUGAAAGCUUUAGAAGCAGGUUAAUUUGUUUUCACAGGGUUGUAAUGAUUCCUGGCAAUGUAGUGCUGUUCUGAUCCACGUUUGACUUAAGAAAAGUUUAAAUUUUUUAUGUAAAUGAAAACCUAAUUUUAACCAGGGUGAUUCUCUUCUUCCUGCACAACAACCCUUUUUAAUCCUGAUCUAUUUAAUCCAGUUGCCUAAAUGUAUGGAAAGAGUAAAACAUGGAUGAUGUUCUAUCCUGUUGUGAUACUUUCUUCUAUAACUCCUUGAGAUCUUGGAAAUUCAACUCUUUAAACAAAACAUCUUUGCUUUCCUUCAUUAUAAAACUGUGUACAUUGAAAAACACCUUUGUCUCAACAUUUUACUGAUGUUUUACUCUUUACAAGGUGCAGAGAUCUUCUUGAAUUCAGUAUUAAUUCACCAUGUAGUGCUGUGUGAAUCAAUGGAUUUGCUAAGUGCAAGUUUAUUUAAGUCAAAGGCAAGUGGCCCAGUGGAAUCAGGCCCAUGUCUGCCCCCACCUGUGACACCUGCUAACCCCAUAGAUGAACUGUUAAAAAGCCUUUCUGCACACCAGACAGAAGUUAUACAGUAUAGUGUUUUCACUAAAGCUGAUAGUACUGUAUGCACCAAAGAGUAAGCCUUUUGGAGCUUUAUUUUACAAAGUUUGAGCUC
Molecule: long non-coding RNA, 2890 nt
Organism: Monopterus albus (swamp eel)
Lineage: Eukaryota; Metazoa; Chordata; Actinopteri; Synbranchiformes; Synbranchidae
Exons: 3
Source: RefSeq, a predicted model, not a curated record